UUGCCUCAUGGCAUAAGUGUAAGAACUACAAGUUAAUCUGUAUACAGUUACUGAGGAUAAAGCACUCUAUAUGUGUUAGCUAUUAUGAUUGUAGCCAAUGAUUUUUGCUUUGAGUCUUAUGUCUCAGCCUGGCAGAUGUUUAUAAAAUCUUGCUUCUGCCAUAUAUUACGUUUACAUUUAGGGUAAGUUUUAGGCCAGGAGCACAAAGAAGUCUUUUAAACCCACAUAUGGUUGAGUUCCGCUCACCAGGAAUCUGAUUGUGGAGAAGAGCCUGGUGGAAAAGGCUUGCGGUCAUAAAUAACAUAAAUAUCCCUCGUCUUAUUUAGAAUGCAGGCCUUGUCCGUGAGAAGUUGCAGUGUCAGGAGGUGAGAGUUGAAGACUCAGAGACUUGGGAUUCCAAACACAUGUAUGUCUCCAUUCUGAGCUUCAUGCUUUUAUAGAAAACAGAAGGGGCUUGUUGGAGAGAAGCAAGAACAGGGACUUCUGCAGCUCGCUGGUUCUCUAGGCCUGUGUCCUGUGUCCCAGGAGUGCCCGAGACAGCGUCUCUCAACCUCCAGGCAUAUUGUAAGGCCCCGGCUUCAACCGACAAGAACCAUCUGGAAUGAGCCCUGCCCACAGCCAGGAUGACAGAGCAUGUGCAAGUGCUCGGCACACGCUCACCUAUGCCUUAAAGCUGAGUAAUUUGAGGAAGUUUGUAAUUUGUUCAUCUUAAGCUGGAAGACUGUGAGUACCGAUUCUAUAUUCAGAUGCAUGUGAACUUGCUGCCCAAAGUUCUGCUGGGUGUUGAAUCUUGCUAUGAGCAGAGGAGCUCUGCUUCAGCCACGUGAGUCCUGAGUGGGCUGCAGCAUCUGGCCAAAGGAAGUCCCUUAUGUGCCCAUCGUGGGGGCUGUGG
Molecule: long non-coding RNA, 892 nt
Filed under: Oryctolagus cuniculus (rabbit)
Lineage: Eukaryota; Metazoa; Chordata; Mammalia; Lagomorpha; Leporidae
Description: lncRNA (ENSOCUG00000036392.1)
Source: RNAcentral